GGGGUCGACUGGUUUUGACAGCAAGUCGAAUUGAUAAGUAAGCACGUCGAGCAUUGAGACCUUGCUCGUAAAUAUAAGAUCUUACCAUUUUACACGGCGAAAAUAACUACGCUUUAGCUGCAUAAUCCGAAUUAUAGUACGAUUAAGCCACGUUCCUAUCAGAUAGGAAAGCUGGAUUCUCGUUGAAAGCCUUGGUUUGUGGCGUUCAGAUAAGGGGAACCGUAAAAAUAGACCUAGAUUUCCAUGAACUUCGGGUGGAUUCCAAAAUUAAGAAGAUAAGUAGCGUGUGGCUGUUUCUGGC
RNAcentral lists this transfer-messenger RNA (301 nucleotides) under Flavobacterium sp. Its description in RNAcentral is "partial transfer-messenger RNA". It matches the Rfam family "transfer-messenger RNA", at positions 1 to 261 of the family's 374-position model. Rfam says of the family: Bacterial tmRNA, also known as 10Sa RNA or SsrA, is named for its dual tRNA and mRNA-like properties. Its role is to liberate the mRNA from a stalled ribosome. The record is from RNAcentral. Lineage: Bacteria; Pseudomonadati; Bacteroidota; Flavobacteriia; Flavobacteriales; Flavobacteriaceae.